RNAcentral lists this ribosomal RNA (445 nucleotides) under uncultured bacterium. Its description in RNAcentral is "partial 16S ribosomal RNA". It matches the Rfam family "Bacterial small subunit ribosomal RNA", at positions 29 to 523 of the family's 1533-position model. The record is from RNAcentral.
AACGAACGCUGGCGGCAGGCUUAACACAUGCAAGUCGAGCGCCCGCAAGGGAGCGGCAGACGGGUGAGUAACGCGUGGGAAUCUACCUAGUUCUACGGAACAACACAGGGAAACUUGUGCUAAUACCGUAUACGCCCUACGGGGGAAAGAUUUAUCGGAAUUAGAUGAGCCCGCGUUGGAUUAGCUAGUUGGUGGGGUAAUGGCCUACCAAGGCGAAGAUCCAUAGCUGGUCUGAGAGGAUGAUCAGCCAGACUGGGACUGAGACACGGCCCAGACUCCGAGGGGAGGCAGCGGCGGGGAAUAUUGGACAGUGGGCGAAAGCCUGAUCCAGCCAUGCCGCGUGAGUGAUGAAGGCCUUAGGGUUGUAAAGCUCUUUCAGUAGGGAAGAUAAUGACGGUACCUACAGAAGAAGCCCCGGCUAACUUCGUGCCAGCCGCCGCAGUAA